AACUCUAAGCGGUGGAUCACUCGGCUCAUGGGUCGAUGAAGAACGCAGCAAACUGUGCGUCAUCGUGUGAACUGCAGGACACAUGAACAUUGACAUUUUGAACGCAUAUCGUAGUCCAUGCUGUUAUGUACUUUAAUUAAUGUUAUAGUGCUGCUUGGACUACAUAUGGUUGAGGGUUG
Molecule: ribosomal RNA, 179 nt
Filed under: Drosophila erecta
Lineage: Eukaryota; Metazoa; Arthropoda; Insecta; Diptera; Drosophilidae
Description: 5.8S ribosomal RNA
Rfam family: 5.8S ribosomal RNA
About the family: 5.8S ribosomal RNA (5.8S rRNA) is a component of the large subunit of the eukaryotic ribosome. It is transcribed by RNA polymerase I as part of the 45S precursor that also contains 18S and 28S rRNA.
Source: RNAcentral